GUAGGUGGCAAGCGUUGUCCGGGAAUUAUUGGGGCGUAAAGCGCGCGCAGGCGGUUCUUUAAGUCUGAUGUGAAAGCCACGGCUCAACCGUGGAGGGUCAUUGGAAACUGGAGAACUUGAGUACAGAAGAGGAAAGCGGAAUUCCACGUGUAGCGGUGAAAUGCGUAGAGAUGUGGAGGAACACCAGUGGCGAAGGCGGCUUUCUGGUCUGUAACUGACGCUGAGGCGCGAAAGCGUGGGGAGCAAACAGGAUUAGAUACCCUGGUAGUCCACGCCGUAAACGAUGAGUGCUAAGUGUUAGGGGGUUUCCGCCCCUUAGUGCUGCAGCUAACGCAUUAAGCACUCUGCCUGGGGAGUACGGCCGCAAAGGCUG
Molecule: ribosomal RNA, 373 nt
Filed under: uncultured organism
Description: partial 16S ribosomal RNA
Rfam family: Bacterial small subunit ribosomal RNA
Source: RNAcentral